RNAcentral lists this ribosomal RNA (301 nucleotides) under uncultured bacterium. Its description in RNAcentral is "partial 16S ribosomal RNA". It matches the Rfam family "Bacterial small subunit ribosomal RNA", at positions 509 to 808 of the family's 1533-position model. The record is from RNAcentral.
CAGCAGCCAGCGGGAAUACCGAGGGUGCGAGCGUUAAUCGGAUUUACUGGGCGUAAAGCGUGCGUAGGCGGCUUCUUAAGUCGGAUGUGAAAUCCCUGAGCUUAACUUAGGAAUUGCAUUCGAUACUGGGAAGCUAGAGUAUGGGAGAGGAUGGUAGAAUUCCAGGUGUAGCGGUGAAAUGCGUAGAGAUCUGGAGGAAUACCGAUGGCGAAGGCAGCCAUCUGGCCUAAUACUGACGCUGAGGUACGAAAGCAUGGGGAGCAAACAGGAUUAGAUACCCCUGUAGUCCCUGUCUCUUAUA